UACGUAGGGGGCGAGCGUUGUCCGGAAUGACUGGGCGUAAAGGGCGUGUAGGCGGCUUUAUAAGUCUGGAGUGAAAGUCCUGCUUUCAAGGUGGGAAUUGCUUUGGAGACUGUAGAGCUUGAGUGCGGAAGAGGUAAGUGGAAUUCCCAGUAUAGCGGUGAAAUGCGUAGAGAUUGGGAGGAACACCAGUGGCGAAGGCGACUUACUGGGCCGUAACCGACGCUGAGGCACGAAAGCGUGGGGAUCAAAC
This 250-nucleotide ribosomal RNA is filed under the name uncultured prokaryote. Its description in RNAcentral is "partial 16S ribosomal RNA". It matches the Rfam family "Bacterial small subunit ribosomal RNA", at positions 524 to 773 of the family's 1533-position model. The record is from RNAcentral.